RNAcentral lists this ribosomal RNA (435 nucleotides) under uncultured bacterium. RNAcentral describes it as "bacterial SSU rRNA". It matches the Rfam family "Bacterial small subunit ribosomal RNA", at positions 355 to 782 of the family's 1533-position model. The record is from RNAcentral.
UGGGGAAUAUUGGACAAUGGGCGAAAGCCUGAUCCAGCCAUGCCGCGUGUGUGAAGAAGGUCUUCGGAUUGUAAAGCACUUUAAGUUGGGAGGAAGGGUUGUAGAUUAAUACUCUGCAAUUUUGACGUUACCGACAGAAUAAGCACCGGCUAACUCUGUGCCAGCAGCCGCGGUAAUACAGAGGGUGCAAGCGUUAAUCGGAAUUACUGGGCGUAAAGCGCGCGUAGGUGGUUAGUUAAGUUGGAUGUGAAAUCCCCGGGCUCAACCUGGGAACUGCAUUCAAAACUGACUGACUAGAGUAUGGUAGAGGGUGGUGGAAUUUCCUGUGUAGCGGUGAAAUGCGUAGAUAUAGGAAGGAACACCAGUGGCGAAGGCGACCACCUGGACUGAUACUGACACUGAGAUGCGAAAGCGUGGGGAGCAAACAGGAUUAGA